UGGAGGGAGGAAAGUCACGGAGCCCCUGGCCUGUCCCACUGUGGGGAGAACUGGGCAGUGGGAGUGCGGGUGGCAGCAGGGCUGGUGGAGGGAGGGAACUCACCACAGU
Myotis brandtii (Brandt's bat) is the source of this 109-nucleotide long non-coding RNA. RefSeq lists it as uncharacterized. The transcript has 3 exons. Lineage: Eukaryota; Metazoa; Chordata; Mammalia; Chiroptera; Vespertilionidae. The record is from RefSeq and is a predicted model, not a curated record.